Hyla sarda is the source of this 346-nucleotide long non-coding RNA. RefSeq lists it as uncharacterized. Lineage: Eukaryota; Metazoa; Chordata; Amphibia; Anura; Hylidae. The record is from RefSeq and is a predicted model, not a curated record. The transcript is spliced from 3 exons.
GUUUUGAUAAAUCUCCACCAUGCUGUAUACGUGCGGGUUCCACAUUCCUUUGCUGAUAUUUUUAGUGUUCCAGGCCUCGGGCAGUAGGGGGAAUUUUGCAUAGAACAAGGAGCGGCCGAGGAAUGAACAUUUACUGGAACCCUGCGCACUCUGCCCUGUGGCCGUGAUGAUGUAAGCGCCGAUCAUCUGAUGGCAAACCGCAGAACAUAGUACACAGCUGAUUAAUGGAGCAAUUUACAAUGAAAUGUAUCAGCAAACGCCAGCUGGGAAAACCUUUCCAAAAUAAUGAAGAAGGAAACGGAUCUCUAUGCAAAGUGAUACGGCAUAAAAUAGUAAUAAAUAUUUA